Molecule: transfer RNA, 84 nt
Filed under: Felis catus (domestic cat)
Lineage: Eukaryota; Metazoa; Chordata; Mammalia; Carnivora; Felidae
Rfam family: tRNA
About the family: Transfer RNA (tRNA) molecules are approximately 80 nucleotides in length. Their secondary structure includes four short double-helical elements and three loops (D, anti-codon, and T loops).
Source: Rfam by way of RNAcentral
GCCUGGGUGGCUCAGUCGGUUGAGCGUCCGACUUCGGCCAGGUCAUGAUCUCGCGGUCCGUGAGUUCGAGCCCCACCUCAGGCU